UCCAAGCUGACCAAACUGAUUCAGUCUUAAACAACAACAUCCACAGGAGCUUAAGAGAACAAGUUCGGUUCCAGAGCAAUAAAUUUCUCACACCCAAGCCUCCUUCACCUUUGGGGGAGGGCAGACCAAGGUAUCUUAUGGGCAGGUGUCCUUGAGGAAUCCUAGACAAACUGCCAAUAGUUGUGAUUUCUUCUGCAGAAAGCCCACAAGGAAAGAAACAAGACUUCUCAGGACUGAUAGCUAAUCCUGACAGGGUCUGGAAUUCAGCCAAGACAUCUAUGAUUCCUUGGACAGAGGCAGGAGAGCCAUCAGAGAAGAUCAACAAGUCGUCAGCAAAGCAGAGGUUGAGAGCGGAAAGACA
Long non-coding RNA from Arabidopsis lyrata subsp. lyrata, 361 nucleotides. RefSeq lists it as uncharacterized. The transcript is spliced from 3 exons. The record is from RefSeq and is a predicted model, not a curated record. Lineage: Eukaryota; Viridiplantae; Streptophyta; Magnoliopsida; Brassicales; Brassicaceae.